GCGACUCAGAAAAAAAUCCUAAAAACUUCUCCAAGAUAACAAUCCUAAAAACUUCUCCAAGAUAACUAUUAUACCUAUACCCUGAUAUCAUCGCUGACCAUGAGAACACGUCCCAGUAUCAACUUAUGAAACAACAAUCUUACAUCUUUCAUGUUCUCUUUCAUUCAUCCUUUGCAUACCGACCAAUCAAUAAUAUGCAUGCCUGACAUAGUAGUUCACUCAGGCAUUUCAUCAAAUAGCC
Molecule: long non-coding RNA, 241 nt
Filed under: Sorghum bicolor (sorghum)
Lineage: Eukaryota; Viridiplantae; Streptophyta; Magnoliopsida; Poales; Poaceae
Description: long non-coding RNA (SBIC_LNC009205)
Source: RNAcentral